CUAGUGGCGCACGGGUGCGUAACGCGUGGGAAUCUGCCCUUGGGUUCGGAAUAACUUCGGGAAACUGAAGCUAAUACCGGAUGAUGACGAAAGUCCAAAGAUUUAUCGCCCAGGGAUGAGCCCGCGUAGGAUUAGCUAGUUGGUGGGGUAAAGGCUCACCAAGGCAACGAUCCUUAGCUGGUCUGAGAGGAUGAUCAGCCACACUGGGACUGAGACACGGCCCAGACUCCUACGGGAGGCAGCAGUAGGGAAUAUUGGACAAUGGGCGAAAGCCUGAUCCAGCAAUGCCGCGUGAGUGAUGAAGGCCUUAGGGUUGUAAAGCUCUUUUACCCGAGAUGAUAAUGACAGUAUCGGGAGAAUAAGCUCCGGCUAACUCCGUGCCAGCAGCCGCGGUAAUACGGAGGGAGCUAGCGUUGUUCGGAAUUACUGGGCGUAAAGCGCACGUAGGCGGCGAUUUAAGUCAGAGGUGAAAGCCCGGGGCUCAACCCCGGAACUGCCUUUGAGACUGGAUUGCUAGAAUCUUGGAGAGGCGAGUGGAAUUCCGAGUGUAGAGGUGAAAUUCGUAGAUAU
This 570-nucleotide ribosomal RNA is filed under the name bacterium RBM-A23. RNAcentral describes it as "bacterial SSU rRNA". It matches the Rfam family "Bacterial small subunit ribosomal RNA", at positions 92 to 697 of the family's 1533-position model. The record is from RNAcentral.